Pan troglodytes (chimpanzee) is the source of this 1239-nucleotide long non-coding RNA. RefSeq lists it as uncharacterized. Lineage: Eukaryota; Metazoa; Chordata; Mammalia; Primates; Hominidae. The transcript is spliced from 5 exons. The record is from RefSeq and is a predicted model, not a curated record.
CCCAUCCUUGGUCGCCAGCGCUUCUCCGGCAGCCUCGUCCUGAAAUCGUGCGAUUGUGAGCUAGAAGCCUUCUGGGUCACUCAUAAACCAAAGAGAAAAUAAGGUGCACUCGAGUUUCCCGUCUAAAUAUUUUCCCUGGAGAUGGAAAGGUGCGCUGGCGGCCGGGGAGCCGCGACCUGGGGCGCGCUGGGCCUCGCAGAGCAGCCGCGGACCCCGGCGAUCGUGCCGUGUUCGUCUCCUUUGUGUUUCUUUAUUGAGUCCCUACUACCUCUACGGAUAUUCUGGGGGCAAUUAAAGAAAAUCGCCGCUUCCUAGACAGCACAUAUUUCCCAUAGAAAUGUGGAAUGUAAGAAAGGCACAUAAAGCAAUCCAAGUUGCCUACAGAUAUCCACAGCCUACUUCAGUCCCAGUAAUGCUCUUUUAACCUGGUGCAUCCGUUUAAGGGAAGACAUGAGAUCAUGGGUUUAAGUGAGUCUUCAUCAUGCCAAGACAACGUGAUCAGUUAUUCCCAACCUAUAUAACUCACAUACACUGGAGGAAAUAUCUUCAUGGAAUUAAAACCACAUGGAGUAACAUUUCACGUAAGCAGAAUUCAGGAAUGAUUUCAGUAAUUCCAUCCCAAACACACACAGGCAAAGGGAGUGAAGAUUUCUUCAGCAACAUGGUGGCAGAAAGAUCAUGAAAAGAUCUAGGCCAGUCCAAGCUCACUGCAGUUAAAUCUUCAGUCUCCAGCACUGCACUUGGGAAAGCGUCAAGGAGUUGAAUGUAUAUGUAAUUGGAGUGCCAGAAGAAGAGAACCGAGAGAGAGGGGCAGAACAGCUCAUGAGGGGAAAACCCACUACAUACAAACAAGAAUACUGCAGACUCCUCAUCGGAAUCUAUGCAAGUAAGAAAAAAAUGGCCAGGAACUAUAGAGCUGUUCUUUAAAGUACUUAAAAACAUUUUUGCCAACCUAGAAGUCUUUAACCAGCAAAAUGUCUUCCAAAAAGAAAAAGACUUUUCAGAACAAAUACUGAGCUAAUUCUUUAUUAGCACAUUUGCACUACGUAAGUGUUAAAGAAAAUUUCUUUAGUAAAAGAAAUAUAAUACCAGAAGGAAAAUUUGAUCUAUAAAAAAAGAAAUUAAGAGUCCCAGAAAUAUAUAAAAAUUAUGUAAAAAAUUUUUGUUUUUUCUCCUUAAAAGAUAAUUGAUUAUUUAAAGCAAAAACAAUAAAGUGUUAUAGGAUUUGUGGCACAUGUU